Brienomyrus brachyistius is the source of this 459-nucleotide long non-coding RNA. RefSeq lists it as uncharacterized. The record is from RefSeq and is a predicted model, not a curated record. Lineage: Eukaryota; Metazoa; Chordata; Actinopteri; Osteoglossiformes; Mormyridae. The transcript is spliced from 3 exons.
GCUACAUGCCUGGUGUGUAUGACUUUUAAAAAAGAGCAUGAUGGGCUGCGCAGAAGCUAUGGAAUUCCAAGGUAUACAAGGACAGGUGAAGUGCAAGUGAGACUGCAUCGUCUGUUGAUCUGUUCGUGCGGUACGCGGACUGCAGUGGAUCUAGCCUGGGGGGGGAGCUGAUUCUUGAUGUGGGCACAAACUUAGGGAAUGAAGUCAAUGCCACCAUUCUUAUCAUCACAGGACACAGAAGAUAAAGGGGAUCCAUAUGGAUGCCUUUGGUGUGGUAUGUAUUACAUAUUUACAUUAAUGUGACAGAAUUAAUGUCAAACCUUAAUGUUAGCAAUGAGACUCACUGUUUAGCUCAUAAUUAUAUUAAUGGGUCACUGAAUAUUCAAGAUCAAUCUAAAUCACUAACGAGGUUUGUUCACUGCUAACAACAAGAAAUAUAAUAAUUCACAUUUUUUAGAU